GCCGACGUGGCCGAAUAGCGAGGCACCGGUUUUGUAAACCGGUUGAUGCUGGUGCAAAUCCAGUCGUCGGCU
Molecule: transfer RNA, 72 nt
Filed under: Planctomycetota bacterium
Lineage: Bacteria; Pseudomonadati; Planctomycetota
Description: Planctomycetes bacterium (marine metagenome) tRNA-Thr
Rfam family: tRNA
About the family: Transfer RNA (tRNA) molecules are approximately 80 nucleotides in length. Their secondary structure includes four short double-helical elements and three loops (D, anti-codon, and T loops). Further hydrogen bonds mediate the characteristic L-shaped molecular structure. tRNAs have two regions of fundamental functional importance: the anti-codon, which is responsible for specific mRNA codon recognition, and the 3' end, to which the tRNAs corresponding amino acid is attached (by aminoacyl-tRNA synthetases). tRNAs cope with the degeneracy of the genetic code in two manners: having more than one tRNA (with a specific anti-codon) for a particular amino acid; and 'wobble' base-pairing, i.e. permitting non-standard base-pairing at the 3rd anti-codon position.
Source: RNAcentral